AUUGAACGCUGGCGGCAUGCCUUACACAUGCAAGUCGAACGGUAACAGGUCUUCGGAUGCUGACGAGUGGCGAACGGGUGAGUAAUACAUCGGAACGUGCCUAGUAGGGGGGGAUAACUACUCGAAAGAGUGGCUAAUACCGCAUGAGAUCUACGGAUGAAAGCAGAGGAUCGCAAGACCUUGUGCUACUAGAGCGGCCGAUGGCAGAUUAGGUAGUUGGUGGGAUAAAAGCUUACCAAGCCGACGAUCUGUAGCUGGUCUGAGAGGACGAUCAGCCACACUGGGACUGAGACACGGCCCAGACUCCUACGGGAGGCAGCAGUGGGGAAUUUUGGACAAUGGGCGCAAGCCUGAUCCAGCAAUGCCGCGUGCAGGAUGAAGGCCUUCGGGUUGUAAACUGCUUUUGUACGGAACGAAAAGCCCUGGGUUAAUACCUUGGGGUCAUGACGGUACCGUAAGAAUAAGCACCGGCUAACUACGUGCCAGCCGCCGCGGUAA
RNAcentral lists this ribosomal RNA (498 nucleotides) under uncultured bacterium. Its description in RNAcentral is "partial 16S ribosomal RNA". It matches the Rfam family "Bacterial small subunit ribosomal RNA", at positions 30 to 523 of the family's 1533-position model. The record is from RNAcentral.